AGUCUUCGGACUGCGGAAGAGUGGCGAACGGGUGAGGAACACGUAAGAAUCUGCCCCUCGGUCGGGGACAACUCUUGGAAACGAGAGCUAAUACCCGAUACGCUGUGGAGUGAAAGAAUUUCGCCGAGGGAUGAUCUUGCGUCUGAUUAGCUAGUUGGUGUGGUAACUGCACACCAAGGCGACGAUCAGUAGCUGGUCUGAGAGGAUGGACAGCCACAUUGGAACUGAGACACGGUCCAAACUCCUACGGGAGGCAGCAGUGGGGAAUUUUCCGCAAUGGACGAAAGUCUGACGGAGCGACGCUGCGUGAAGGAUGACGGCCCGCGGGUUGUAAACUUCUUUUCUCGAAGAAGAAACAAAUGACGGUAUUCGAGGAAUAAGCAUCGGCUAACUCCGUGCCAGCAGCCGCGGUAAGACGGAGGAUGCAAGUGUUAUUC
This 437-nucleotide ribosomal RNA is filed under the name uncultured Micromonas. RNAcentral describes it as "bacterial SSU rRNA". It matches the Rfam family "Bacterial small subunit ribosomal RNA", at positions 75 to 546 of the family's 1533-position model. Lineage: Eukaryota; Viridiplantae; Chlorophyta; Mamiellophyceae; Mamiellales. The record is from RNAcentral.